This 164-nucleotide unclassified non-coding RNA is filed under the name uncultured fungus. RNAcentral's name for it is "sequence contains ITS1, 5.8S rRNA gene". The record is from RNAcentral. RNAcentral also lists the same sequence under 2 other names. Lineage: Eukaryota; Fungi.
CACAAAUAUGAAGGCGGGCUGGAACCUCUCGGGGUUACAGCCUUGCUGAAUUAUUCACCCUUGUCUUUUGCGUACUUCUUGUUUCCUUGGUGGGUUCGCCCACCACUAGGACAAACAUAAACCUUUUGUAAUUGCAAUCAGCGUCAGUAACAAAUUAAUAAUUA